RNAcentral lists this ribosomal RNA (465 nucleotides) under Vreelandella stevensii. RNAcentral's name for it is "partial 16S ribosomal RNA". It matches the Rfam family "Bacterial small subunit ribosomal RNA", at positions 338 to 795 of the family's 1533-position model. Lineage: Bacteria; Pseudomonadati; Pseudomonadota; Gammaproteobacteria; Oceanospirillales; Halomonadaceae. The record is from RNAcentral.
CCUACGGGGGGCUGCAGUGGGGAAUAUUGGACAAUGGGCGAAAGCCUGAUCCAGCCAUGCCGCGUGUGUGAAGAAGGCCUUCGGGUUGUAAAGCACUUUCAGUGGGGAAGAAAGCCUUGGGGCUAAUACCCUCGAGGAAGGACAUCACCCACAGAAGAAGCACCGGCUAACUCCGUGCCAGCAGCCGCGGUAAUACGGAGGGUGCGAGCGUUAAUCGGAAUUACUGGGCGUAAAGCGCGCGUAGGCGGUCUGAUAAGCCGGUUGUGAAAGCCCCGGGCUCAACCUGGGAACGGCAUCCGGAACUGUCAGGCUAGAGUGCAGGAGAGGAAGGUAGAAUUCCCGGUGUAGCGGUGAAAUGCGUAGAGAUCGGGAGGAAUACCAGUGGCGAAGGCGGUCUUCUGGACUGACACUGACGCUGAGGUGCGAAAGCGUGGGUAGCAAACAGGAUUAGAUACCCUAGUAGUC